UCCCUGGUAGCUCAAUCGGCAGAGCGGGUGGCUGUUAACCACUAGGUUGGCGGUUCAAAUCCGUCCCGGGGAG
Molecule: transfer RNA, 73 nt
Filed under: Desulfonatronum thiosulfatophilum
Lineage: Bacteria; Pseudomonadati; Thermodesulfobacteriota; Desulfovibrionia; Desulfovibrionales; Desulfonatronaceae
Also listed under: 1 other name
Rfam family: tRNA
About the family: Transfer RNA (tRNA) molecules are approximately 80 nucleotides in length. Their secondary structure includes four short double-helical elements and three loops (D, anti-codon, and T loops). Further hydrogen bonds mediate the characteristic L-shaped molecular structure. tRNAs have two regions of fundamental functional importance: the anti-codon, which is responsible for specific mRNA codon recognition, and the 3' end, to which the tRNAs corresponding amino acid is attached (by aminoacyl-tRNA synthetases). tRNAs cope with the degeneracy of the genetic code in two manners: having more than one tRNA (with a specific anti-codon) for a particular amino acid; and 'wobble' base-pairing, i.e. permitting non-standard base-pairing at the 3rd anti-codon position.
Source: Rfam by way of RNAcentral